AAGGGCGCCGAGCAGCGGAGGCGGACGGCGCGCACGGCGCGACGCUGACUCUCACAUUCGCUCACCCACGCUGAAGGGGCCCGGCGCGAAGCACUCCGGGAAGGCAGAGGUGUGUUUUAUGACUUGCUGAAUGGAGUUUUGAAAAGAGCAACGUGAGAACAAAGCUAAAGGAAGAAAAGACCUACAGCUGGACCAGGUGGCCGAAGGACACGAGGAAUCCGCAGCUGUGUAUAUACAAGGGACCCUGUUGGAGAUGUCGUCAAGGGCAGAAAAGAACAAGAACCAAGAAAGAGCCAGCAGGAAAGGAGCCUUGAAGUUUCAACUUAGAGUCUAGAGGUGAAAGCUGAAAUUUUCACCAGUCCCCCAAGAAAUAAGAAAGGUAAUGAUAAUGUAAUGAGCUUUUCAUAAAGCUAAAUUUUCUCAAUGCAGAAGACUGUUCUUUAUUCUGAGAUUAUUUCCCUCCUAACUUUUUUGAUGUGAAAAUGCCCUUUCUUCCCAAAUGAUGCCAGUAAAAAUUAGCCAUUUUUUAAAAUAUCCUUAUUGGGUAAAAUAUAAUGCAGAGAACCCCAUGUUGGUUCCUAAGACCUUUUUUUUUUU
Orcinus orca (killer whale) is the source of this 597-nucleotide long non-coding RNA. RefSeq lists it as uncharacterized. The transcript has 2 exons. Lineage: Eukaryota; Metazoa; Chordata; Mammalia; Artiodactyla; Delphinidae. The record is from RefSeq and is a predicted model, not a curated record.